GUGAAUCAUCAAAUUUUUGAACGCAAAUUGCACUUCCCGGCAUCCCGGGAAGUACUCCUGUUUGAGGGUCAGUAUUAAUACAUAAUCGGUGUAGCUACAAAUUGUGACGCUUCCGGAGUUUGGUCUAUCUUAACAUUUUUGGUUACGAGGCUUAAAAUUGACCUGUUUUGCGCAUUUUUAAACGUACAUAAAUUUUUUUUAUUCGUCUAUUUCUAUUGCUAAAAUCUUAUUAGAUCAGAUCACAUCGUGUGG
RNAcentral lists this unclassified non-coding RNA (252 nucleotides) under Glomeraceae sp. RNAcentral's name for it is "partial contains 5.8S ribosomal RNA and internal transcribed spacer 2". The stretch from base 1 to 71 matches the Rfam family "5.8S ribosomal RNA", at positions 84 to 154 of the family's 154-position model. The record is from RNAcentral. Lineage: Eukaryota; Fungi; Glomeromycota; Glomeromycetes; Glomerales; Glomeraceae.